UAGGAUUUAAAACCCUAAUGCUGACUUAAAGGAAAAGUUCAAUUUAGGGUUUAAAACCCUAAUGCUGACUCAAUGGAAAAGUUCAGUUUAGGGUUUAAAACCCUAAUGCUGACUAAAGGAAAAAGUUCAAUUUAGGGUUUAAAACCCUAAUGUUGACUAAAGGAAAGAGUUCAGUUUAGGGUUUAAAACCCUAAUGCUGACUAAAGGAAAAAGUUCAGUUUAGGCUUUAAAACCCUAAUGCUGACUGAAGGAAAAAGUUCAGUUUAGGGUUUAAAACCCUAAUGCUGACUGAAUGGCAAGUUCAGUUUAGGGUUUAAAACCCUAAUGCUGACUAAAGGAAAAAGUUCAGUUUAGGGUUUAAAACCCUAAUGCUGACUGAAUGGAAAAGUUCAGUUUAGAGUUUAAAACCCUAAUGCUGACUGGAAGGAAAGAGUUCAGUUUAGGGUUUAAAAUCCUAAUGCUGACUAAAGGAAAAAGUUCAGUUUAGGGUUUAAAACCCUAAUGCUGACUUAAAGGAAAAGUUCAGCUUAGGGUUUAAAACCC
This 543-nucleotide long non-coding RNA is filed under the name Nicotiana tabacum (common tobacco). Its description in RNAcentral is "long non-coding RNA (NTAB_LNC008116)". Lineage: Eukaryota; Viridiplantae; Streptophyta; Magnoliopsida; Solanales; Solanaceae. The record is from RNAcentral.